Molecule: transfer RNA, 91 nt
Filed under: Streptomyces sp. CNQ-509
Lineage: Bacteria; Bacillati; Actinomycetota; Actinomycetes; Kitasatosporales; Streptomycetaceae
Also listed under: 1 other name
Description: tRNA-Ser
Rfam family: tRNA
About the family: Transfer RNA (tRNA) molecules are approximately 80 nucleotides in length. Their secondary structure includes four short double-helical elements and three loops (D, anti-codon, and T loops).
Source: RNAcentral
GGAGAGUUGCCCGAGCGGCCUAAGGGACCGGUCUUGAAAACCGGCGUGGCGUCCUGCGUCACCGUGGGUUCGAAUCCCACACUCUCCGCCG